UAGAGUAGAUAUUGCGCGUAAAGUGUCAUAAGAUGGGAUGUUGCUUAUGAACGAAGGAUUAGAACCGCGGUGCAAUGUCGCGUCCGCUA
This 89-nucleotide non-coding RNA is filed under the name human gut metagenome. Its description in RNAcentral is "THF riboswitch". It matches the Rfam family "THF (Tetrahydrofolate) riboswitch aptamer". From Rfam's summary of the family: THF riboswitch presents a pseudoknot that joins P1-P2 and the loop of P3 and two THF binding. RNAcentral also lists the same sequence under 1 other name. The record is from RNAcentral.